Molecule: ribosomal RNA, 253 nt
Filed under: uncultured bacterium
Lineage: Bacteria
Description: partial 16S ribosomal RNA
Rfam family: Bacterial small subunit ribosomal RNA
Source: RNAcentral
UACGAAGGGGGCUAGCGUUGCUCGGAAUCACUGGGCGUAAAGCGCACGUAGGCGGGUCUUUAAGUCAGGGGUGAAAUCCUGGAGCUCAACUCCAGAACUGCCUUUGAUACUGAGGAUCUUGAGUUCGGGAGAGGUGAGUGGAACUGCGAGUGUAGAGGUGAAAUUCGUAGAUAUUCGCAAGAACACCAGUGGCGAAGGCGGCUCACUGGCCCGAUACUGACGCUGAGGAGCGAAAGCGUGGGGAGCAAACAGG